RNAcentral lists this ribosomal RNA (1350 nucleotides) under uncultured bacterium. Its description in RNAcentral is "bacterial SSU rRNA". It matches the Rfam family "Bacterial small subunit ribosomal RNA". The record is from RNAcentral.
AAUUCGAUUAGAGUUUGAUCAUGGCUCAGGAUGAACGCUGGCGGCGUGCUUAACACAUGCAAGUCGAACGAACCUUCGGGUUAGUGGCGGACGGGUGAGUAACGCGUGGGAAUCUGCCCUCAGGAGGGGGAUAACGGCUGGAAACGGCCGCUAAUACCCCAUAUGCCGAGAGGUGAAAUGAAUUUCGCCUGAGGAUGAGCCCGCGUCUGAUUAGCUUGUUGGUGAGGUAAUGGCUCACCAAGGCUUCGAUCAGUAGCUGGUCUGAGAGGAUGAUCAGCCACACUGGGACUGAGACACGGCCCAGACUCCUACGGGAGGCAGCAGUGGGGAAUUUUCCGCAAUGGGCGAAAGCCUGACGGAGCAACGCCGCGUGAGGGAUGAAGGCCUCUGGGCUGUAAACCUCUUUUCUCAAGGAAGAAGAUCUGACGGUACUUGAGGAAUAAGCCACGGCUAAUUCCGUGCCAGCAGCCGCGGUAAUACGGGAGUGGCAAGCGUUAUCCGGAAUUAUUGGGCGUAAAGCGUCCGCAGGCGGCCCUUCAAGUCUGCUGUUAAAGCGUGGAGCUUAACUCCAUCAUGGCAGUGGAAACUGUUGGGCUUGAGUGUGGUAGGGGCAGAGGGAAUUCCCGGUGUAGCGGUGAAAUGCGUAGAUAUCGGGAAGAACACCAGUGGCGAAGGCGCUCUGCUGGGCCAUCACUGACGCUCAUGGACGAAAGCCAGGGGAGCGAAAGGGAUUAGAUACCCCUGUAGUCCUGGCCGUAAACGAUGAACACUAGGUGUCGGGGGAAUCGACCCCCUCGGUGUCGUAGCCAACGCGUUAAGUGUUCCGCCUGGGGAGUACGCACGCAAGUGUGAAACUCAAAGGAAUUGACGGGGGCCCGCACAAGCGGUGGAGUAUGUGGUUUAAUUCGAUGCAACGCGAAGAACCUUACCAGGGUUUGACAUCCUGCGAACCUCUUGGAAACAGGAGGGUGCCUUCGGGAACGCAGUGACAGGUGGUGCAUGGCUGUCGUCAGCUCGUGUCGUGAGAUGUUGGGUUAAGUCCCGCAACGAGCGCAACCCACGUCUUUAGUUGCCAGCAUUUAGUUGGGCACUCUAGAGAGACCGCCGGUGAUAAACCGGAGGAAGGUGUGGAUGACGUCAAGUCAUCAUGCCCCUUACACCCUGGGCUACACACGUACUACAAUGCUACGGACAAAGGGCAGCAAACUCGCGAGAGCUAGCAAAUCCCAUAAACCGUGGCUCAGUUCAGAUCGUAGGCUGCAACUCGCCUACGUGAAGUAGGAAUCGCUAGUAAUCGCAGGUCAGCAUACUGCGGUGAAUACGUUCCCGGGCCUUGUACACACCGCCCGU